RNAcentral lists this ribosomal RNA (301 nucleotides) under uncultured bacterium. RNAcentral describes it as "partial 16S ribosomal RNA". It matches the Rfam family "Bacterial small subunit ribosomal RNA", at positions 509 to 807 of the family's 1533-position model. The record is from RNAcentral.
CAGCCGCCGCGGUAAUACGGAGGGUGCAAGCGUUAAUCGGAAUUACUGGGCGUAAAGCGCACGCAGGCGGUCUGACAAGUCAGAUGUGAAAUCCCCGGGCUUAACCUGGGAACUGCAUUUGAAACUGUCAGGCUGGAGUCUUGUAGAGGGGGGUGGAAUUCCAGGUGUAGCGGUGAAAUGCGUAGAGAUCUGGAGGAAUACCGGUGGCGAAGGUGGCCCCCUGGACAAAGACUGACGCUCAGGUGCGAAAGCGUGGGGAGCAAACAGGAUUAGAUACCCCUGUAGUCCCUGUCUCUUAUAC